RNAcentral lists this ribosomal RNA (492 nucleotides) under uncultured bacterium. Its description in RNAcentral is "partial 16S ribosomal RNA". It matches the Rfam family "Bacterial small subunit ribosomal RNA", at positions 29 to 507 of the family's 1533-position model. The record is from RNAcentral.
AGUGAACGCUGGCGGUAGGCCUAACACAUGCAAGUCGAACGGCAGCACAGUAAGAGCUUGCUCUUACGGGUGGCGAGUGGCGGACGGGUGAGGAAUACAUCGGAAUCUACUUUUUCGUGGGGGAUACCGUAGGGAAACUUACGCUAAUACCGCAUACGACCUACGGGUGAAAGCAGGGGAUCUUCGGACCUUGCGCGAUUGAAUGAGCCGAUGUCGGAUUAGCUAGUUGGCGGGGUAAAGGCCCACCAAGGCGACGAUCCGCAGCUGGUCUGAGAGGAUGAUCAGCCACACUGGAACUGAGACACGGUCCAGACUCCUACGGGAGGCAGCAGUGGGGAAUAUUGGACAAUGGGCGCAAGCCUGAUCCAGCCAUACCGCGUGGGUGAAGAAGGCCUUCGGGUUGUAAAGCCCUUUUGUUGGGAAAGAAAAGCAGCAGGUUAAUACCCCGCUGUUCUGACGGUACCCAAAGAAUAAGCACCGGCUAACUUCGUG